Molecule: ribosomal RNA, 253 nt
Filed under: uncultured bacterium
Lineage: Bacteria
Description: partial 16S ribosomal RNA
Rfam family: Bacterial small subunit ribosomal RNA
Source: RNAcentral
UACGGAGGGUGCCAGCGUUAUCCGGAUUUACUGGGUUUAAAGGGUGCGUAGGUGUCCCGACAAGUUUUCGGUGAAAUCCUCUGGCUUAACUUGAGAAUGGCCGGAAAAACUGUCGGGAUUGAAUGUAGUUGAGGUGGGCGGAAUGUGCCAUGUAGCGGUGAAAUGCGUAGAUAUGGCACAGAACACCUAUUGCGAAGGCAGCUCACUAAACUGUCAUUGACACUGAGGCACGAAAGCGUGGGGAGCAAACAGG